Mus musculus (house mouse) is the source of this 585-nucleotide long non-coding RNA. RefSeq annotates it as predicted gene, 33702. The transcript has 4 exons. Lineage: Eukaryota; Metazoa; Chordata; Mammalia; Rodentia; Muridae. The record is from RefSeq and is a predicted model, not a curated record.
AUGGGUAUCAUUAGGAAGCACACACAGUCCUUAACUGAGACCUAGGAAAAACAAGUACAAGCGACUGCCUGGUUGGUGGGACUCUUGUUCCAGUGAGACAACUGGAAAGGUCUGUGUUUUAUAGAGAGACAGCUGAAUGCCUUUCACUUGUUUUCUUUGAAUGUAUGGAUGCUUGUUAAAAGAAGAUGAUGAAAGAGAGCCAGAAUCACCCCUUUUCAGGCUCGGGAAGGUUACAAGGCAAAUUUAAGAAAUUUAAGAAAUUGCCAGACCUGCUUAUGUGCAAUGAUCACCAACCACUGGCCAAGAUAAAGAAUCUCAGGACCCACACUUCAAGUCCACUGGCAUCUGCGACAGGAUCCUGGGAUGAUUUUCACAUACAGUGUGGACUGAGAAGAAGCAGACAGUUCACUGAACCUGCAAGGUCUGAAAUAUCAUCUUUGCAUGUCUUUCAGCGUUGGGAUAUUAGGAUGCCAUCUAGACAUCACUGGUAUUUUCCCUGCCUGCUUUAACAGGGGGUGGGGCGAGAGGUUAUCAUGCAGGUUGCUGCAGAGAUGAUGUUAAUAUUCAUAUAAAUUCUUAAGUUCA